GGGGAUUUAGCUCAGUGGUGUAAGCGCCUGCCUUGCAAGCAGGCAGUUCUGGGUUCGAUCCCUGGUACCA
RNAcentral lists this transfer RNA (70 nucleotides) under Cavia porcellus (domestic guinea pig). It matches the Rfam family "tRNA". From Rfam's summary of the family: Transfer RNA (tRNA) molecules are approximately 80 nucleotides in length. Their secondary structure includes four short double-helical elements and three loops (D, anti-codon, and T loops). Lineage: Eukaryota; Metazoa; Chordata; Mammalia; Rodentia; Caviidae. The record is from Rfam by way of RNAcentral.